Long non-coding RNA from Homo sapiens (human), 305 nucleotides. RefSeq annotates it as long independently transcribed non-coding RNA 384. The transcript is spliced from 2 exons. The record is from RefSeq and is marked validated. Lineage: Eukaryota; Metazoa; Chordata; Mammalia; Primates; Hominidae.
GCUUGAGCAAGCCAGUGUAAAAAUUACAACAGCUUACUGAGCCCUGUGCAGAAGCUGAUAUUGAGAGCAUGGAGGCUUCCUGCUAAAGGCCAGCAUCAGCUUGUCAGCCACACAGGUGAGGCUGGGAGAGGAUCCUCAGUCCUGAUCAAGACUUCAGAUGAGAUCACAGCCCUGGCUGACAUCUGACUGCAACUUCAUGAGAGACCCUGAGCCACAGCCCCCAGCCCAGCCACUCCUGAAUUUCUGGUCCACAGAAACUGUAAGAGAUGUAAAUAAAUUAUUAUUGCUGCUUUUAAGCCACUAAA